This is a long non-coding RNA of Xiphophorus maculatus (southern platyfish), 864 nucleotides long. RefSeq lists it as uncharacterized. The record is from RefSeq and is a predicted model, not a curated record. NCBI's taxonomy places the organism in Eukaryota, Metazoa, Chordata, Actinopteri, Cyprinodontiformes, Poeciliidae. The transcript is spliced from 3 exons.
UGGCGGUCGACCCGUUGUGGUCGACUCAGCGGCAUCACCGGCGGGAAGGAGACGGUUGCCAUGGUGAAUGUAACGUCUACUUCAUGUUUGGUUGGUUUGACCCUGUGAGUCUGACCAGCUGAUGCAGAGAAGCGGCUCUGAUCUGAUGGUUUUGAGUUUCUCUGAUCAUUUCCCAGCAUGCCCGGCUCUGGAUGGGACCAGUUGGUAACCAUGACAGCGGGACGCGGCCCGGAGAGCGGCUGCUGCUGUAGCAGUGACUCGGUUUCUCCUUGGCUGUGAUCCGGACAGCAGAAGACAACAUGAGCUCAGCUGUGGCGCCGCCGGCGGCCGGAGGUUUGUGCGAUUCGGAGCCGACCCGCAGCAUCAGAAACAAACAGCAACAGCAACAGCCGGCGGCGGCGGCGGCCGACAGGCGUGACAAGAGGAGCUGAAUUAACAACGUGAAGUUCAUUUAAAAGCAUCUCUGACCUUUUCCUGGAACGAGGCGGCAGCGGGAACGGCAGCAGCUCAGCGGGCGGAGGGACGUCCUGCAGCAGAGGACAGACACGGCGCGUCCUCCGGCCAACAAUAAACACCGCAGGACCUUCAUGUCACAUGUAACGUUUGGCCGUCAUCAGACCCGGCCUCGCCGUGGCGUCCACCAGGGCUCCGUACUGGGCUGGUAAUGGAGGGAAAAUGUUCAGCGUCUCCAACCGACCAGAGAUGAACAAAAACCCAAAACAAACAGAUAAACGGACAAACCAGAGAUUCAAUCUUUGGAUGUUUUGGCCAAAUUUCAUUAAAGUCCAUCUUUGAUAAACACAACAGCUAAAAUCUGACGCCUCCAUCUUGUUUCCAUUCGGUGAAGAAGGAAGUUGCUCUCAG